GGAGUUAGCCGGUGCUUCUUCUGCGAGUAACGUCACAGAUGUAAGGUAUUAACUUACACCCUUUCCUCCUCGCUGAAAGUGCUUUACAACCCGAAGGCCUUCUUCACACACGCGGCAUGGCUGCAUCAGGGUUUCCCCCAUUGUGCAAUAUUCCCCACUGCUGCCUCCCGUAGGAGUCUGGGCCGUGUCUCAGUCCCAGUGUGGCUGAUCAUCCUCUCAGACCAGCUAGGGAUCGUCGCCUAGGUGAGCCUUUACCUCACCUACUAGCUAAUCCCACCUGGGCUUAUCCAUCAGCGCAAGGCCCGAAGGUCCCCUGCUUUCCCCCGUAGGGCGUAUGCGGUAUUAGCAGUCGUUUCCAACUGUUAUCCCCCACAAAUGGGCAAAUUCCCAGGCAUUACUCACCCGUCCGCCGCUCGUCAUCUUCAAAAGCAAGCUUUUGAAAUGUUACCGCUCGACUUGCAUGUGUUAGGCCUGCCGCCAGCGUUCAAUCUGAGCCAGAAUCAAAACUCUGA
RNAcentral lists this ribosomal RNA (512 nucleotides) under uncultured bacterium. Its description in RNAcentral is "partial 16S ribosomal RNA". The record is from RNAcentral.